RNAcentral lists this small nuclear RNA (20 nucleotides) under Arabidopsis thaliana (thale cress). RNAcentral's name for it is "snRNA_06215". Lineage: Eukaryota; Viridiplantae; Streptophyta; Magnoliopsida; Brassicales; Brassicaceae. The record is from RNAcentral.
AACCCGUAAGGCGCAAGGAA